This 418-nucleotide ribosomal RNA is filed under the name uncultured bacterium. Its description in RNAcentral is "bacterial SSU rRNA". It matches the Rfam family "Bacterial small subunit ribosomal RNA", at positions 361 to 776 of the family's 1533-position model. The record is from RNAcentral.
AUAUUGGUCAAUGGGCGUAAGCCUGAACCAGCCAAGUCGCGUGAGGGAGGACGGCCCUACGGGUUGUAAACCUCUUUUGCCGGGGAGCAGGGUGGCGGACGUGUCCGCCGUUUGAGAGUAUCCGGAGAAAAAGCAUCGGCCAACUCCGUGCCAGCAGCCGCGGUAAUACGGAGGAUGCGAGCGUUAUCCGGAUUUAUUGGGUUUAAAGGGUGCGUAGGCGGGCUUUUAAGUCAGCGGUAAAAAUUCGGGGCUCAACCCCGUCCGGCCGUUGAAACUGGGGGCCUUGAGUGGGCGAGAAGAAGGCGGAAUGCGUGGUGUAGCGGUGAAAUGCAUAGAUAUCACGCAGAACCCCGAUUGCGAAGGCAGCCUUCCGGCGCCCUACUGACGCUGAGGCACGAAAGUGCGGGGAUCGAACAGG